This 8060-nucleotide long non-coding RNA is filed under the name Solanum lycopersicum (tomato). RNAcentral describes it as "long non-coding RNA (SLYC_LNC001420)". The record is from RNAcentral. Lineage: Eukaryota; Viridiplantae; Streptophyta; Magnoliopsida; Solanales; Solanaceae.
AACUCUUUCAAGCUUGUAGGGAAGUGAUAUCCAUUGGGUUGUCGGAUUAACGAGGGAUAUUCAUUGCACUUGUAUCUUGCUAUGAAUGAUUCGAGUUUAUUAAGUACAUCAAGCUUGGGAAACCAAUAGUCGUGUGUAGGAGGAUACUGCGAUUCCAUGAUGAUGCAAUCAAGGUGCUGAAGAAUUGGGAACUUCUCCAGAGCAUCAUCACUCAUGCCUUCAGAAUAUGAGAUAACAACUCCGGAUAGAGUUGUCAAGUUUGAAGAAUUCCCAGAUUCCAAUAUUCUACUUUGGAUAUCCUCUUUCUCUUCAAAGAAAGAACAUACGUUAAUUUUCACAUGUAACAGCUUUGACAGUGAGAAUAUUCUGCUUUGGAUAUCCUCUUUCUCUUCAAAGAAAGAACAUACGUUAAUUUUCACAUGUUUCAGCUUUGACAGUGAGAAUAUUCUGGGCAGUAAAACCAUGGGGGAAGAAUUUCUAUUGAUGAACAGAGUUUCCAGAUUCUGUAGGUUCAACCACGACACCGGGAUAGCUAUUACAUCAGCAGUCUGAAUGCUUAAGAACCUCAAAUGAAAUAAGGACCCUAUUUCUUCAAUUAAAGAAUCUUCCAGAAUGAUGUCAUCCAGUUGCAACACUCUAACAAGUCCAAAGUGUCUUGUGUGACAGAUAUACCUGAACUCAUCUAGUGGACCACUCACUUUCAAAGAUAUGACAUGCUUAUUAACAGCUAAGCACUUAUUAGAAUUGAAUAAAACACAUUUUUUGUGCAGUUGGCUGUUGUCAGUAUGAAUGGUUAGACGACGGUGUAGGAAAUUAGAAGCAUGAAAUGGAUCACCUGAAUUGAUUAACUUGAAAAACUUCUCCUUUUUUGCUUUCACUGAACAAAAAUCGUGCACAACAUCAUGAACAUAGCAAGCUCUGAUCAUUGCAGAAGUCCACCAAAGACUCUCGGAGGGGAUAUGAUCCACCAUUAUCAGGCUACUAGAAAUUAAAGCAUUCAAGUAACUUUGAGUUGUUUCCACUGAACUAUCAUGAUCCACAAGCCCUUCGGCCAUCCACAACUGCAUCAAUGUAGAGACUGGAGUCCGUUUGCUCUUUUGAGACCUUGCAAAGUAAAGCAGCAACGGCUUCAGGUGGUAUGGUAAAUGGUCAUAACUUAAUUGCAUAACCUUCAUCAUCUGCAAAUUGUUGUUUGAAGAAAUAAAGGAAUCCAGAUUAUGUUCAAUCUGAAGCCACAAAUCCUUUUUCUUUUUCUUUCCUCUAACAAUUACUCCAGCAAUCAAAACAAUAGACAAGGGAAGUCCUUUACAUUUCUCAACUAUUUGGUGUCCAAUGUCUGACAGUUCAGCAGGGCAGCUUCCUUCAUCCUCAAAUACCUUUUUUACGAAUAAAUCCCAACUUUUUUCAGGUGUUAAAAGUUGAAGGUGGAGAGUAUCACUAUGGCAUUUAACUUUCAAACCUACCUCACUACUUCGGCUAGUUAAAAUAACUCUAUUUCCUCUCUCAACCUUUUUUGGAAAACAUGCUAUUAACAUCUCCCCUGUUGCAAUAUCCCACACAUCAUCCAAGACGAUGAGGUACCUUUUAUCGAGUAGUGCUACUCGUAGCUUUCCAGCAAGGUCAUCCUCACUUUCUUUUGUCUCCGAGGCAGUAACUUGCUGAAGAAUCUCCCGCAACACCUUUGACUUGUUAAAGUUUUGGGAAACAGUGCACUUAGCACGAAUCUUGAAAUGACUAGCAACUAAUGUAUUGUUAUACACUUUAUUGGCAAGAGUAGUUUUACCGACUCCUGGCAUUCCAACAAUGGAAAUGACAUCAAGCUCGGAUUCAUGUUCAUCAAGGAGCUGGCCAAUGAUCCGGGCUUCAUCUUCCUCAUGACCUACUGUUACCUCAACAAAUGAUGAUGAGGUUAACUUAAUUGGCUCAUUGGAAGACUUUGCAUCAAGGGGGCCAUCCCCAUUCUUAUCCUCCAGCUGUAAACCGGUGACUUGUGCCACAAUAAGCUUGAUCUUAUCAGUGACAUUCGGAAGUGAGAAGAUUAAAUGCGAGAGAGCUUUAUCUCUGACAAGAAUGGAAUUAAUGACAUGUUCUGCCUCAUAUGCCACAUCCAAAGCACGCAUCCAACAAUCUUUAACAACUCCACUAGUGCUCUCAUCCAAUGUUUGCCUGAAAGAUGCUGUUAGGAAUUCAAGGCUUUGUUUCACCAUCUCAAUUUCUUUUUUUAUCAGAGAAACUGAAUAAGAAUUGGAAGUGAGUAAAUCAUUUAAAUGUCUGAGUAGAAGAUUCAUGAAGAGGAAACCAUCAUCCAUAGGAAAGCAAAGUUGGGAUGACUCUGGCGCUUUCAAAAUAAUCUGUUUGAUAUCUCCCUUCAUUCGUUCGAUUUCUUGCAACAAGUAUGGAGCUGAAAAGUCUGCUUCAUUCAUAUUAGAGCUCUCCUCCAUGAGAAUAGACAUCUUCCUUGUAAGUAGUCCGACAUGUGCCAACAUAGAGUUCAAUUUGCCACGAUGGAUAAAGCGCUUUGGUAUAUCAGUGAGAAAGAUCAAUAGGAACUCCAUCAUGACAUUAAUGCUUUGAGUUGCAGAGUAACUGACGGCUACCAUGCGUCCUUGGAGAUGAAUGAGAUAAUUCUGAAGAAUCCUUGGAGAUGCUUUUAGGAUUUGCUUAACCAAUCCUUCUAGUUCUUUUGACCUUGAUUCUUUGAUGAGGUUAGAAGUAGAAAUGUAUAGAACCUCCAGCUCGAGAGGGAUUAUGUCGAUGAGUAGAGAAGUGAUCUUGGAAGAGCAUUCAAAGACUAAAUACUCAUAACCAUCAUCAGUAUAUUCUUUAUACUCUCCAGUCCAAAGAUCAAAACAGAAUUGUGUUACUCUAUCAACUGUCAUUUGGUACCGAGCAUAGAGAAAUUCUGUUGUUGUAAUUUUGUUGCAUUCCAAUUCAUAGAAAUCUCUGAGAUGUGUACAUACUUGCCGCAGAAUCUUGUAUUCACUCAUGAGGGGUAGAAGCAAAUCAGAACAAUACUUUGGUAGAUCAUGGAGGUUUCUGAUGAGGUAUUCAAACAAUUUUAUCUCUGUAGUUGUGGCUACAUAAUCAUUCUUCAAACUCAAAUAAUUUCUUAUCUCUUCAAGCAGCAGAGGGGCAAGACAUUCCAUGUUGUAUCUCUCUAGGAUUAUUUUAUCUACGUACUCCAUAGAUUGAUCGAAUUUGCUUAUAUUCAUUGACAUCCUCUCAUAAAAGUCAUCCAAAUUCAUCGAAUUUCCAAACAGGACAAAUGUUCUUAGGAAUCUCAGUUCCAUUCUUAGAUUUUCAAAGGCAUCCAAUUUUGAAGCAAUGAAUUCAUUCUUUAUUUGCUUCAAGCGAUUCAAGAAAUCAUCAAUAAGAUUCGUGAUUCUUGUUUUUUGUUCCUCAAAUAAUAGCUGCUAAAUCAAAAACAUAUUCAUCAGCAAAAUUCAGUUGAAAAUUUUGGCUCUUAACACUUGAAACUACAGUAUUGGUAGACAAUAGACAUACCAAUGAUUUUUCUCCUUUUUCCAUCCAACCAGCCUUCAAUAUCUAAAAGAUUUGAUUUUUCAAACUAAUCACAUGCACAUUUAAUAAGGAUAAAAGAAUUAGAAACACAAGUAAAAGUAACAGCAAGAAGAAAGAGUUCAAAGAAUGUCAGCUGUUAUAAAUUCUAAAUUUGGCUUAAAUAUGUUAUCGAACUUUGUAGAAAAAGAAAAGAUUCAUUUAUGUCAUCAGUUAAAACUUUGGUUCAUCUAUGUCAUUAUCAUUUGAGAAAAAACACAUUCAUGCUAUUAUUUUUUACCCAAUAAGAUCCCAAACAACUUUUAAUACUUUUCAAUUGGAAUUUUAGAUCAAAUGGAUUCUUUUUGUUUCUUCUACCUUAAAAAACACAUGUAAAACUCUCAAAUUUCCAACUUCUUCCAUUCUUCACGAAUUCACCUCAAAUUUCCGCCACUAAUUAAUUUUUCUUUUAAUAAGCAAAAAUUCUAAAAUAUAUAAUCUGUAAAUCAAUCACAUUUAAGAAAGAGUAUAUUUACUAAAAACAAGAGUGAAUACUACAAAUUAUGACAAUCAUCUAACAUUUUAUAAUUAUCUAAGUCAAAAAUACAAAUUCGUUUUCUAGUUCUUGUAAUGUAUGUUUCAUUCAAAUCAAGUGAAUCACAAAAAUACAUGUAAAAUGAAAACUAGAAAAACAUUAUAUUAUACCUUUUUCUUUACUCUCAAAUGGUAGUUUGCCUUGUUGCAGAUUUACAAGAAGCAAACGUUGAAGUUAGAUCUGCAAAUGUUGAACUGUCAAUUAGUUUAUCAAAGUCUAGAGAUCUGAAAUAGAUUAGUUUAAGUUUACUACUCACUCCUUCUAUUUUUAAUUGUUAGGUUGCGUUUUUCGAAAGUUAAUUUGAUUAAUUUUCAAAGUUAAAUUCAAUUAUAUUAAUUCGAUAUUUUAAGUAUUCUGACAUGUGCCAACAUAUCGUUCAAUUUUUCACGAUGGAUCAAUAGGAACUCCAUCAUGACAGUAAUGCUUUGAGUUGGAGCGUAUUUGACAGCUACCAUGCUUCGUUGGAGAUGAAUGAAAUAAUUUUGAAGAAUCCUUGGAGAUGCUUUUAGGAUUUGCUUCACAAACCUCUCUAGUUCCGUUGACCUUGAUUCUUUCAUGAGUUUCAAAGUAGAAAUGUAUAGAACCUCCAGUUCAAGAGGAAUUAUGUCAAUGAGUAGAGAAGUGAUCUUGGAAGAGCAUUGUGAGACGUUAUAGUAAUCAUAAUUUUGCUAGAGUUCAAUAAGUUUUGGAGUUCUUCUAAUUAUUUGUCUUAGUGCAAUAAAACUGUAACUCCGUAGGUAUUGUAUUUCUCAUUUCAACCUUUAAGUUUAGCACUAUGUUGUUGAACUAAGCUUUUUCCUACACGAUUAAACUGACCUUUGAGUUAUUACUGCGAUAACAACCAGUUGUAAUUAAGGUUCAACAUGAGCUUGAGCUUGGUGUUUUAAGGUUGUAGGCAGGUAGAUCUUUUCCCAUAUGUGAACAAAUGAUGUACUUUUAUUUGAUGCACUGGUACUGAUCAGAGAAUGUAGAAUUCCUACUCGUUCAUGUGGUAUCGAUUUUACUGUUCUUGGAAUUUCAAAGCUGUUUCCAUAGAGGUAUACUGAACUUGUCCUGUACGAUAUUUCUCAAACGACGUCCCUUGGUUAUAAUCUCUUUCUCCGUAAUUGUAUUAACCAUUGGAGUUACUUGUACCUACAGAGCAGAAAGCAAAUCAAAACCGAUACUUUGAUGUUAUUCAUUUUGGUUUCUGUGCGACUUGGUUUACAAUUCGAGGGAAAUGAUUAAUGUAUAGCUAAAUAAAUUGAUAUUCAUCAUUGGUAAAUUGAUCUUGAAAGUACCGUCUCAGCAUGAAUGAUUAUUUCUCUUGUUCGAAAAAUCAUGUACUUUGUUGUACAUAUGCAGGUGAAUCAACUAACGACGACCAUACAUUGAUUUAACACUACCUGUUAUUUUACCAAAGUCUAAAUCCGUUCCCGACUUAUCUCCAAGCAACAUGAAGCCUCCAAAUUUCAAUCUUGAAUCAGAAGACGAGUCCGAGGUCAGCAACUGCCAAGUGGGUUCAAACAUAUCCGUCCAAGAAAUUCGCCCUGGUCCUUCCCUUAAUCUUCAGCAGGAAUCAGUUCCUGUUACCCUUGACUUGACUCUUGGCUUCAGCAGCAGUGACUCCGAGUUGAAAGCCAAUGCUGAGGCGAGUGACGAAGAAGUACCCCAUCCUCCAACGGCAGCACUAUCCUGAGUUUUCUCGUGCAAUUUCUGCAGGCGCAAGUUUUACAGCUCCCAGGCAUUGGGCGGACACCAGAACGCACAUAAGAGGGAGAGGACUUUAGCUAAGAGAGCAAUGCGGAUGGGAAUGUUAUCGGACAGGUACGCUAGCUUAGCAUCAUUGCCCCUUCACGGGGCUGCAUUUCGAUCUCUUGGCGUUGAAGCUCAUGGUUCCACACACCAACGCAUCUCGCACCAAGAAACACCUAUUCAUGCAGUUAGAAGCGGGGCUAGAUUUGAACAAGGCUAUUUCGGGAUGCCAGUAUUCGUGGAGGAUGAUGAAGUGGAAGUGUUCUGGCCCGGUAGCUUCAGGCAAAUAGACGGAAUUGGUGGCAAUAUGGGGUAUAAUUCAGGGCAAAGUUCAAGCAUAAAUUUUGUAGCUGUAGCUCCUCAAACUAGGACAGAUCCAACAUUGCCUGAUCUUAAUUUGAAACUCUGAUUUUUUGGUAUUCUAUUCUACUUUUUGUAUCAGAAUUUUCACAAUUGUUGUAUUACAUAUUUACAUUAGUGCUCUAUUUGUACAGGAGAUGAAUAUUUGAGACUGUCUUGAGCUUUCAAUUUUGAAUCUUUUUCAUUCCCAAAUUUGUUUAGUUGACCAUCUUAUUGUACAAUUAUAGUAUGAUACUUUGUUACAUAUAAGUACAGAUUUGGGACAGUGCUGAUAUUUUUUAGUUUAUUUAAACCUUUAACCCUGUUUAUCAUUAUUCGUUAGAUUCUUUUCAGGAAGUCUCACAUUGGGAGUAAGACAUACAUAGGCGAUUUUAUAUCUGGUAAGGCUCGAACGCGAGACCUCUGAUUAAGGAUCAGAGAGUGCUGCCUCUCCACCACAGUGCUUGUUGGCACAGUAGUAAUCAUAUUAACUGUCCAUAUCAAUAGUGAUAGUUAGUUGCCUUUUGGCAUUGAAACCUUCCAAUUAAAAAAAACAAAACUAGUAUCUUAUAUGAGAGAUUACAGACGAAAUAAGAUUCAUAACUAACAAAAAAACAGGAAAGAAAACACACGACAAAUUAGAUCAAAAUAUGUCCAGAACCAGCAAUGAGAAAAACCAGUAACAAGUUUGUUUAUUGGAAGCAGUAAUCAGAUGGAGGCGUUGCGUUGUUUCGUUCUUCAUUGUUGUGAUUUGUCCAACUUCAUCAAUCACUGCGAUUCAUAACCACGAGAAUCAGUGCAAUCACUCCACCAACUAUGUAUAAGUAUUAUAUUUCAACAUGCUAGCACAAAUCAAACAUUCAGGAUCUAAGUAUUCUCCACCUGCAAUACAAAACAAAUCCAUUGAAUUUUCUCAUAAUGUUACAACUAGUCAAAUCAGUGGAUGAUUUGUUUAUUGCCUCUAAACAAAUGUCAAUAAAAGUUUGUUUUUGUGGUAGUGUGUGCAGGAAGAAGAAUGAACUCUACUACUAACAACUUCAACGAACACACUACACAAAUGCAAAUUAUAUAAAUUAAACGAACUUAGUUACCUCAUCUUCAUCCUCUGUUUUUUCUCGUUGGUUGCCAAUCAAAUAUGAUGUGUGGACAUCAAGUCUGUCCUCUCCUGUGAAAUCUGCUACAUUUUUCUUAAUCUCAAUGGCUGAAUCUCCAAGCUCACGCCUAACGCCUCUUAAAUCAAUGGACUUUAAAGUGUCUAUAUCUAUAAAUGCACAAGGGAUCUCCCAAAGUGUGAUACAAAGUUUUAGUAUAAAUUUCUCAAGCUUGGGAAAAGUUUCCCUCUCAACUUGCCAUUCUGAUAAUUGGACAUCUCGCAAAAUCAAAGUCUUAAGACUUAGAUAGAUGUCCUCACUUGCGUCCCAUUUCUUAUCCACGAAUUUACAGCUGGAAAACUCCAUAAUCUCAAGCUCAGGCAACGCUGCGAUUACUGACAACAAAUCAGGUCUCAGGAGAAAACCAGUCAACCGUAACUCUUUCAAGCUUGUAGGGAAGUGAUAUCCAUUGGGUUGUCGGAUUAACGAGGGAUAUCCAUUGCACUCGUAUCUUGCUUUGAGUGAUUCGAGUUUAUUAAGUACAUCAAGCUUGGGAAACCAAUAGUCGUGUGUAGGAGGAUACUGCGAUUCCAUGAUGAUGCAAUCAAGGUGCUGAAGAAUUGGGAACUUCUCCAGAGCAUCAUCACUCAUGCCUUCAGAAUAUGAGAUAACAACUCCCGAUAGAGUUGUCAAGUUUGAAGAAUUCCCAGCUUCCAAUAUUCUACUUUGGACAUCCUCUUUCUUUUCAAAGAAAGAACUCAUGUCAAUUUUCACAUGUUUCAGCUUUGACAGUUGCAAUAUUC